Long non-coding RNA from Frieseomelitta varia, 313 nucleotides. RefSeq lists it as uncharacterized. The transcript has 3 exons. Lineage: Eukaryota; Metazoa; Arthropoda; Insecta; Hymenoptera; Apidae. The record is from RefSeq and is a predicted model, not a curated record.
AAAUUAGAGUCAGUGAGUCCGCCGAUUUAAGACUUAAACGCGCGCGUUGAUAGUAUUUUAUUUUUCUUUUUUUAUAUUUUCUCUUAUUCAACAUUCGGUAUAUUAGAGUCAGUGCUCAAGAGGAUAAGGCCUCUCCUGGAGAUCAAGAUCAUGCAUCACAGCAUCAAUUCUUUUGCAUUUUUUGCGGAAAAUCCAGCGGUGGCUCUAAAACUAAGAAUAUCCUCCACAGUCUCCAAUACUCCUUUACCUAUUCAAGGAGGAUCUUCACAACGACUUUCCUUGGUCCAGCAUCGAUUGUAACGUUCUUCACAUC